UUAUGGUAUGAAAGGAGAGAACAUUAGUACUCCCCUUGGCAAGGAUGGAGAGGCUCUCGGGCCUGAUGACGCACAUACAGUUAAGGCAUUGCCACCUACUUCGUGGUAUCUAACCAUCGUUUAAA
RNAcentral lists this non-coding RNA (125 nucleotides) under Carlito syrichta (Philippine tarsier). The record is from RNAcentral. Lineage: Eukaryota; Metazoa; Chordata; Mammalia; Primates; Tarsiidae.